AGCAGCCGCGGUAAUUCCAGCUCCAAUAGCGUAUAUUAAAGUUGUUGCAGUUAAAAAGCUCGUAGUUGAAUUUCGGGGUUAGUAGGUUGGUCAUGCCUCUGGUAUGUACUGGUCUCACUGAUUCCUCCUUCCUGAUGAACCUUAAUGCCAUUUAUUUGGUGUUUUGGGGAAUUUGGACUGUUACUUUGAAAAAAUUAGAGUGUUUAAAGCAAGCUAACGCUUGAAUACAUUAGCAUGGAAUAAUGAAAUAGGACGUUCGAUCCUAUUUUGUUGGUUUCUAGGAUUGACGUAAUGAUUAAUAGGGAUAGUUGGGGGCAUUAGUAUUCAAUUGUCAGAGGUGAAAUUCUUGGAUUUAUUGAAGACUAACUACUGCGAAAGCAUUUGCCAAGGAUGUUUUCAUUAAUCAAGAACGAAAGUUAGGGGAUCGAAGACGAUCAGAUACCGUCGUAGUCUUAACCAUAAACUAUGCCGACUAGGGAUCGGAUGAUGUUAAUUUUUAAUGUA
RNAcentral lists this ribosomal RNA (504 nucleotides) under uncultured Glomus. Its description in RNAcentral is "SSU rRNA". It matches the Rfam family "Eukaryotic small subunit ribosomal RNA", at positions 569 to 1078 of the family's 1831-position model. Lineage: Eukaryota; Fungi; Glomeromycota; Glomeromycetes; Glomerales; Glomeraceae. The record is from RNAcentral.